UCGCUGUUGGCGAUAUACUGUCAGCGGCCAAGCGAAAGUAUUAAGUGAUGCACCUGGGGAGUACGCCGGCAACGGUGAAACUCAAAGGAAUUGACGGGGGCCCGCACAAGCGGUGGAGCAUGUGGUUUAAUUCGAUGAUACGCGAGGAACCUUACCAGGGCUUAAAUGUAGUAUGACCGGCUUAGAAAUAGGCCUUCUCUUCGGAGCAGAUUACAAGGUGCUGCAUGGUUGUCGUCAGCUCGUGCCGUGAGGUGUUAGGUUAAGUCCUGCAACGAGCGCAACCCCUAUUCUUAGUUGCCAGCGGUUCGGCCGGGGACUCUAAGAAGACUGCCAGCGCAAGCUGAGAGGAAGGUGGGGAUGACGUCAAAUCAUCACGGCCCUUACGUCCUGGGCUACACACGUGCUACAAUGGUAGAGACAGAGGGCAGCCACCUGGUGACAGGGAGCGAAUCCUUAAACUCUAUCUCAGUUCGGAUCGAAGUCUGCAACUCGACUUCGUGAAGCUGGAAUCGCUAGUAAUCGCGCAUCAGCCAUGGCGCGGUGAAUACGUUCCCGGGCCUUGUACACACCGCCCGUCAAGCCAUGGAAGCUGGGGGCACCUGAAGUCGGUAACCGCAAGGAGCCGCCUAGGGUGAAACUGGUAACUAGGGCU
This 652-nucleotide ribosomal RNA is filed under the name uncultured marine bacterium. Its description in RNAcentral is "bacterial SSU rRNA". It matches the Rfam family "Bacterial small subunit ribosomal RNA", at positions 817 to 1482 of the family's 1533-position model. The record is from RNAcentral.